Molecule: long non-coding RNA, 1108 nt
Filed under: Notechis scutatus (mainland tiger snake)
Lineage: Eukaryota; Metazoa; Chordata; Lepidosauria; Squamata; Elapidae
Description: lncRNA (ENSNSUG00000002517.1)
Source: RNAcentral
GGGAGGGAGGGAGGGCGGGGAGGGGAGUGGGGGGGGGGAAGAAGGGUCACCAAAUAAGGGGAAAAAAAACACUUUGUAUAUGACUUUUAAAAAAAAAACGAAAACAAAAAACAAAAGAGGACAACACAGUAUUUUUCAAAAUUGUAAAUAGCGCAUAUGCAUGGAUAAAAAAAAAAGGAGCAAGCGUGGCACGUGUUUGCAUAAUGUUUAAUUACAAAAAAAAUAUUUAUUCUUUAAAAACCUUCAAGAUGUCUAUUUGCCGUGCAUUUCUUCUUCUUCUUCUUUUUUUUUCAGUUUGCUUUUAAUUCGGGUAGGGAGGGCAACGUGCGCAGCUGCAAACAACUCAAAUUCUCUGGCUCAAACAAGAUAGAUAGAUGGGGGGGGUAUUUGGGGGGGGGGGGCUUCUUCCUCCUCCCACGCCUUGCAACCCAUUCCUUGUUCGGGUGUGUGUGUUCCUUGCUGGCAACGGACACCGUCCCUUGCACACUUCCAGCUUCGUUGGUGUGCGUUUCCCGUUUUGGAAAUCAAAGUGUUGUAAUUCCGGCUGCCUUUUUUUCCCCGGCUUUGAACGCCCCCCCCUUCUCUCCCCCCCCAAUUUCCUCCUAACCUCGGCCGUUUGCCCGUGUGAAAAUCCAAUUCUCUUAUUCCACAACUGGUUCUUCAUUCAUAGGAAAUUUGGGGCAUGUGGGUUAAGGUCUCUGUGUGGAACAUUCCUUGUUGAGGUGUCGGAUCUUGGAAACCGCUGGGAAAAAUUGUGGCGUUUGGUGGUGGUUGGUGAGGAAAAAGUGCUCGGUGCAGCAAAUAUUCCCAUCUAGUUGCAAGAAUCUGUAGCAUUUCUUCCCCCAGUAACGUUAAGAGAGGUGGACUUCCAAUUCCCAGAAUUCCCCAGCCAGCUUUGCUGGCUGGGGAAUUCUGGGAGUUGAAGUCCACACCUCAUCUUUGCUGCGGUUGAGAAAUUGAUCUUUAUAGUUCCUGGAGCUAUUGAGUAUUUUUUAAUUUCCCCGAAUGAGGAGGAAAUCAUGAAUAUCAAACUAUAUACAAGUCAUUUAUAGUCUCAUAUUUUCUUUUUUAUAAUAAAAAUUACCUUCAAGCACGGUUUGGAAGCUGU